This 501-nucleotide ribosomal RNA is filed under the name Ascomycota sp. RNAcentral describes it as "LSU rRNA". It matches the Rfam family "Eukaryotic large subunit ribosomal RNA", at positions 133 to 650 of the family's 3401-position model. Lineage: Eukaryota; Fungi; Ascomycota. The record is from RNAcentral.
CGGGGUCCGAGUCGAAUUUGCAGAGGAUGCUUCGGGAGCGGUCCCAUCUAAGUGCCCUGGAACGGGCCGUCAUAGAGGGUGAGAAUCCCGUCUGGGAUGGGCGGCCGCGCCCGUGUGAAGCUCCUUCGACGAGUCGAGUUGUUUGGGAAUGCAGCUCUAAGCGGGUGGUAAAUUUCAUCUAAAGCUAAAUACUGGCCGGAGACCGAUAGCGCACAAGUAGAGUGAUCGAAAGAUGAAAAGCACUUUGAAAAGAGAGUUAAACAGCACGUGAAAUUGUUGAAAGGGAAGCGUUGUCCACCAGACUCGCCCGGGGGGGUUCAGCCGGCACGUGUGCCGGUGUACUCCUCUCCGGGCGGGCCAGCAUCGGUUUGGGCGGCUGGUGAAAGGCCCCGGGAAUGUACCACCCUCCGGGGUGUCUUAUAGCCCGGGGUGCCAUACAGCCAGCCUGGACCGAGGCCCGCGCUUCGGCGUGGAUGCUGGCGUAAUGGUGGUCAACGGCCC